This 293-nucleotide long non-coding RNA is filed under the name Homo sapiens (human). Its description in RNAcentral is "HSALNT0132852". The record is from RNAcentral. Lineage: Eukaryota; Metazoa; Chordata; Mammalia; Primates; Hominidae.
UAGUAAAAGACAGGACUGCUCCUGACAUUUUGCUGGGAAGCAAAGAAACCAGAAGACAUGCCUCCGUGCCAGGAAGGAGAAAGUAAACCACAGCUGGAAACCUAAGCGGAGGAAGAAUGGUCUUCCAAUUAAGAGGAACUGUGUUUGAAGAGCUAUUAUUAAAGAACCACCCCUGAGAAGCUUUAUUUUCCCCUGGACCCAAUUUAGAGAAUGACAUACUGGACUUCUGGCUGAUGCUGUAAUGGGGUAAGACUUUGGGGGACCUUAGGAGGCAGGUGAGUGAACUUUGCAUG